This 292-nucleotide ribosomal RNA is filed under the name uncultured bacterium. RNAcentral describes it as "partial 16S ribosomal RNA". The record is from RNAcentral.
GGACUACCAGGGUAUCUAAUCCUGUUUGAUCCCCGCACUUUCGUGUAUGAGUGUCAAUAUUGGACCAGGUCGCCGCCUUCGCCACCGGUGUUCCUCCUGAUAUCUACGUAUUUCACCACUACACCAGGAAUUCCACGACCCUCUUCCAUAUUCAAGUUUUGUAGUUUUAAAUGCACUUCUUGGGUUAAGCCCAAGGCUUUCACAUCUAACUUACAGAACCACCUGCACACGCUUUACGCCCAAUGAUUCCGAACAACGCUAGGACCCCCCGUCUUACCGCGGCUGCUGGCAC